RNAcentral lists this unclassified non-coding RNA (2110 nucleotides) under uncultured fungus. Its description in RNAcentral is "sequence contains 18S rRNA gene, ITS1, 5.8S rRNA gene, ITS2, 28S rRNA gene". The stretch from base 1114 to 2110 matches the Rfam family "Eukaryotic large subunit ribosomal RNA", at positions 1 to 961 of the family's 3401-position model. The record is from RNAcentral. Lineage: Eukaryota; Fungi.
GGAAGGAUCAUUCAAGACGCUAUUUCGGUAGCAAACAUAACGUUGAACCCCCAAACUCUAUAAACAUACAUAUAAAAACAAAAGUAUUACCAGUGGAUACCUUGGUUGCCAUAACGAUGACGAACGCAGCAAAGCGCGAUAGUAAUUGCGAAUUGCAUGAUUUAGUGAAUCAUCAUAAUUUCGAAUGCACAUUGCGGUCUACCUCGCGGUAGAUCAUACCCCUCUCAGUGUUUAUACAAAUACACAUAUACUCAAACAAAGGGAAGUGAGCUAGGGCCCUUCAAAGGUUUAUAUUUGGGUUUCCAAAUAUGAACUGAUGAUGUGGAGUUUUUACAUUAAUAGGUGAACGGCUGAGUGUAGUAAUCGACUCUGUUGUGAUUGAAUGGAUUCUAAUGUUAAGCUCUUGGUAGCGUUGUCUAUAGUAGUAUCACUUUUGGUGCGAACAGACGUCACUGCCAUAAGCAAGAUUGUCUGGAUUCUUUUGAAAAUGGAAGAUAAAUGAAAUACUCAGGCUAGUAAUUGAAUUCUUGUGAUUGUCUGAAUUUUAAUAUCGUAACUCAUACUUGUUGUCUAUAGUAGUAUCACUUUUGGUGCGAACAGACGUCAUUUUGAGGGAUCGGUUGUCUGGAUUCUUUGAGAACUUGAAGGAAAACUAUUAACCGGAUGACGGUCAUCGACUGAUGCAUAAGUGUGCUAGUAGCUGGCAAAGUUCGAGAGAAUAUUGAUGAAUUCCAGAAUAGAGGAUUUCCAGAAAUGGAGAACUUUUAGGAUGGAAGGAUUUGAUUAGUACUUCUUACCAAGCCUACCAAUGUAUUCUCUUGCUGACGUCUUUGUCGUUGCUCGCUUCUACGAUGUUUGGGGCCACACGGAGUACAGCAAGUCGUGAUCUCGCCCGGUCAUGCGCUUGUCGAAAAUGUGGUGUUUCUGGAAAUCCAUUCGUGGGUAUCCAGGAGCUGCAAUUUCUGUCGCAAGAUAGAAGGAGCUAUGUGAUCAUUAGUGUCAAUUGCGUCUGCUAUUUAACACUGUGGUUGAGCAUCUGUUUUUACCAUUAUCUAAAUUUACUUCUUCUGGAGCAUCUUAGACUUGGAAUUAGCAUUUGUUUUUCUUUCUAGUAUAACCUGAAGGGGGUAAGAGGACCUCCUGAGUUUAAGCAUAUUCUUAAGGAGAGGAAAAAAUCAAAACCGGAUACCCUUAGUAACUGCGAGUGAACAGGGUUUUGUUCAUGCCUGGAAUUUCUGGUUUUUUAAAUCAGAAAGUUGUGGUAUUUGGAAGCAUUCUCAGAAGGGUAUAUGGUGAAGUUAGUUGGAAAACUACUGCUAGAAAGGGUGAAAGCCCCGUUUGGCCAUCUGUUCCCCUUCGUACGAGAUGUUUUCUACGAGUCGGGUUGCUUGGGAAUGCAGCCUUAAGUAUGUGGUAAAUUUCACAUAAGACUAAAUAUAUAUGGCAAACCGAUAGCGCACAAGUACCGUGAGGGAAAGGUGAAAAGAACUUUGAAAAGAGAGUUAAAAGCAUUUGAAACUGGUAAUACUAAAGGAAUAGGAACCUCAAACCUUACAGUCGCAUCCACGAAGGGGAUAUGAUGGACAUCAUUUGGGAGCCAUGUAUUUGGCCCAAUUAGUGUCUAUGAUUAUCUUCUCUCGCGAUUUGUAGACUGGGUCAUUCUGUUUGGCAUAUUGGCUUGCAGACGUUGGUGCUUUUCUUAGUGUGGGUUCCUUGACGGGCCUACCUUUGUAUUUGCCCGACUGUGCAUUUCACGUGCUUUAACGGGAUGUGAUGGUUCCUAUUCACCCGUCUUGAAACACGGACCAAGAGUCGAGUGCACAUGCAAGCGUGGGAGUGUAAAACUUCAACGCGUAAUUAAAGUGAGGAGGUAACUUUUUACUUUACGGUAUGAAACCAGAGGUGGCAAUACCGCCCCUAUCUCACAUUGUGGAGGUAUGGCGGAGCAGCAUGUGUGUUCGGACCCGAAAGAUGGUGAACUAUGCCUGAGUAGGGUGAAGUCAGGGGAAACUCUGAUGGAAGCUCGUAGCGAUACUGACGUGCAAAUCGUUCGUCAAACUUGGGUAUAGGGGCGAAAGACUAAUCGAACCAUCUAGUAGCUGGUUCCCCC